Non-coding RNA from Canis lupus familiaris (dog), 46 nucleotides. The record is from Rfam. NCBI's taxonomy places the organism in Eukaryota, Metazoa, Chordata, Mammalia, Carnivora, Canidae.
CUUCAGGCCCUUUUAAGAGCCACCCAUAUGCUCAUUUAAAGAGCUG